UGUUGAAGCUUUGCACCCAGGGUCUGCAAGUGAGACAAUGUACCUGGAGCUUUAUUUGUUGUUAAUAAACAUAAUU
Molecule: non-coding RNA, 76 nt
Organism: Xenopus laevis (African clawed frog)
Lineage: Eukaryota; Metazoa; Chordata; Amphibia; Anura; Pipidae
Source: Rfam